RNAcentral lists this ribosomal RNA (253 nucleotides) under uncultured bacterium. RNAcentral describes it as "partial 16S ribosomal RNA". It matches the Rfam family "Bacterial small subunit ribosomal RNA", at positions 524 to 776 of the family's 1533-position model. The record is from RNAcentral.
UACAGAGGUCCCAAGCGUUGUUCGGAUUCACUGGGCGUAAAGGGUGCGUAGGUGGUGGUGUAAGUUUGGUGUGAAAUCUCCGAGCUCAACUCGGAAACUGCACUAAAUACUACAUCGCUGGAGGGUCGGAAGGGAGACUGGAAUUCUCGGUGUAGCAGUGAAAUGCGUAGAUAUCGAGAGGAACACCAGUGGCGAAAGCGAGUCUCUGGACGACUCCUGACACUGAGGCACGAAAGCUAGGGGAGCAAACAGG